UUAUCCUGAACUGACUCUUUCAACUUGACAAGGCUAGGAUCUCUAUCUUGCUUUUCUUUCACCUAGAAAACCAAAGAUGAUUCUGAACUACUUUGAACCCAUAUAUCACCCUCAUCUAUACCGACUAAGCAAACGCCUAGUCUAGCAAACUGAUGGACUUCCUGAGCUAACUUUUUCUUACUAUCCUCAACAUGAGAAACACUACCCAUGGAUAGUCUACUGAGAGCGUCGGCCACUACAUUAGCCUUAC
Molecule: long non-coding RNA, 250 nt
Filed under: Capsicum annuum
Lineage: Eukaryota; Viridiplantae; Streptophyta; Magnoliopsida; Solanales; Solanaceae
Description: long non-coding RNA (CANN_LNC015446)
Source: RNAcentral